CACCACCACCACCUCCAUACAAGUAUGAAUCCCCGCCACCUCCACCUUAUUACUACAAGUCCCCUCCACCACCACCAUACAAGUACGAGUCGCCACCACCUCCUCCGUACAAGUAUGAAUCUCCACCACCACCAGUUUACAAAUACAAGUCACCUCCGCCGCCACCUUAUUACUACAAAUCCCCACCGCCACCUCCAUACAAGUACGAGUCUCCACCUCCUCCUCCGUACAAGUAUGAAUCUCCACCACCACCACCUUAUUACUACAAAUCCCCCCCGCCACCUCCAUACAAGUACGAGUCACCGCCUCCUCCUCCGUACAAGUAUGAAUCUCCACCACCGCCAGUUUACAAAUACAAGUCACCCCCGCCACCACCUUAUUACUACAAAUCCCCGCCACCACCUCCAUACAAGUACGAGUCUCCACCUCCUCCUCCGUACAAGUAUGAAUCUCCACCACCACCUCCUUAUUACUACAAAUCCCCGCCGCCACCUCCCUACAAGUAUGAAUCCCCGCCACCACCUCCCUACAAAUACGAGUCACCUCCACCACCACCUUACUAUUACAAAUCUCCUCCACCGCCUCCAUACAAGUAUGAGUCGCCACCACCACCAGUCUACAAAUACGAGUCUCCGCCACCCCCAGUUUACAAAUACAAGUCGCCCCCUCCACCUUAUUACUACAAGUCUCCGCCACCCCCGCCAUACAAAUAUGAAUCCCCACCUCCACCUCCCUACAAGUAUGAAUCGCCUCCUCCUCCACCUUACUACUACAAGUCCCCUCCACCACCUCCCUACAAAUAUGAAUCCCCGCCACCACCUCCCUAUAAAUACGAGUCACCACCACCACCACCUUACUAUUACAAAUCUCCUCCACCGCCUCCAUACAAGUAUGAGUCGCCACCACCACCUCCCUACAAAUACGAGUCACCACCACCACCACCUUACAAGUAUGAAUCCCCACCUCCACCUCCGUACAAGUAUGAAUCACCUCCACCGCCUCCAUACAAGUAUGAAUCCCCUCCUCCACCUCCCUACAAAUACGAGUCACCACCCCCACCACCUUAUUACUACAAAUCGCCUCCGCCACCGGAGUAUCAAUCAC
Molecule: long non-coding RNA, 1104 nt
Filed under: Selaginella moellendorffii
Lineage: Eukaryota; Viridiplantae; Streptophyta; Lycopodiopsida; Selaginellales; Selaginellaceae
Description: long non-coding RNA (SMOE_LNC002368)
Source: RNAcentral